RNAcentral lists this ribosomal RNA (224 nucleotides) under uncultured bacterium. Its description in RNAcentral is "partial 16S ribosomal RNA". It matches the Rfam family "Bacterial small subunit ribosomal RNA", at positions 118 to 334 of the family's 1533-position model. The record is from RNAcentral.
UAGUUGACCUGCCCUUUGGUGGGGAAUAACUCCUCGAAAGAGGAGCUAAUACCGCAUAAGCUCUACGGUGUGGGCCGGAGAGGAAACUUUGUUCGCAAGAGCAGAGGCAAAAGGAGGGGACUGCGGCGGAUUAGCUAGAUGGUGGGGUAAAAGCCUACCAUGGCGACGAUCCGUAGCUGGUCUGAGAGGACGACCAGCCACACUGGGACUGAGACACGGCCCAG